Molecule: ribosomal RNA, 497 nt
Filed under: uncultured bacterium
Lineage: Bacteria
Description: partial 16S ribosomal RNA
Rfam family: Bacterial small subunit ribosomal RNA
Source: RNAcentral
GAUGAACGCUGGCGGCGUGCCUAAUACAUGCAAGUCGAGCGAACGGACGAGAAGCUUGCUUCUCUGAUGUUAGCGGCGGACGGGUGAGUAACACGUGGAUAACCUACCUAUAAGACUGGGAUAACUUCGGGAAACCGGAGAUAAUACCGGAUGAUAUUUUGAACCGCAUGGUUCAAAAGAGCAAGACGGUCUUGCUGUCACUUAUAGAUGGAUCCGCGCUGCAUUAGCUAGUUGGUAAGGUAACGGCUUACCAAGGCAACGAUGCAUAGCCGACCUGAGAGGGUGAUCGGCCACACUGGAACUGAGACACGGUCCAGACUCCUACGGGAGGCAGCAGUAGGGAAUCUUCGGCAAUGGGCGAAAGCCUGACGGAGCAACGCCGCGUGAGUGAUGAAGGUCUUCGGAUCGUAAAACUCUGUUAUUAGGGAAGAACAUAUGUGUAAGUAACUGUGCACAUCUUGACGGUACCUAAUCAGAAAGCCACGGCUAACUACGUG